Molecule: ribosomal RNA, 374 nt
Filed under: Lomentospora prolificans
Lineage: Eukaryota; Fungi; Ascomycota; Sordariomycetes; Microascales; Microascaceae
Description: Scedosporium prolificans Eukaryotic small subunit ribosomal RNA
Rfam family: Eukaryotic small subunit ribosomal RNA
Source: Rfam by way of RNAcentral
UGGCCGGUCCCCCUCACCGGGUGCACUGAUCCAGCCGGGCCUUUCCCUCUGUGGAACCCCAUGGCCUUCACUGGCUGUGGCGGGGGAAAAGGACUUUUACUUUGAAAAAAUUAGAGUGCUCCAGGCAGGCCUAUGCUCGAAUACAUUAGCAUGGAAUAAUAGAAUAGGACGUGUGGUUCUAUUUUGUUGGUUUCUGGGACCGCCGUAAUGAUUAAUAGGGACAGUCGGGGGCAUCAGUAUUCAAUUGUCAGAGGUGAAAUUCUUGGAUCUAUUGAAGACUAACUACUGCGAAAGCAUUUGCCAAGGAUGUUUUCAUUGAUAAGGAACGAAAGUUAGGGGAUCGAAGACGAUCAGAUACCGUCGUAGUCUUAACU